GCUUACAGCCAUACCACCCUGAAAACGCCCAAUCUCGGAAGCUAAGCAGGGUCGGGCCUGGUUAGUACUUGGAUGGGAGACCGCCUGGGAAUACCAGGUGCUGUAAGCU
Molecule: ribosomal RNA, 109 nt
Filed under: Monopterus albus (swamp eel)
Lineage: Eukaryota; Metazoa; Chordata; Actinopteri; Synbranchiformes; Synbranchidae
Source: RNAcentral